CCUACGUGAGUCAGCAGUGAGGCAUAUUGGUCAAUGUGCGCUAUCCUGAACCAGCCAAGUAUCGUGAAGGAUGACUGCCCUAUGGGUUUUAAACUUCUUUUAUAUGGGAAUAAAGUGCAGUAUGUAUACUGCUUUUCAUGUACCUUAUGAAUAAGGAUCGGCUAACUCCGUGCCAGCAGCCGCGGUAAUACGGAGGAUCCGAGCGUUAUCCGGAUUUAUUUGGUUUAAAGGUAGCGUAUGCGGGUUGUUAAGUCAGUUGUGAAAGUUUGCGGCUCAACCGUAAAAUUGCAGUUGAUACUGGCAUCCUUGAGUACAGUAGAGGUAGGCGGAAUUCGUGGUGUAGCGGUGAAAUGCUUAGAUAUCACGAAGAAAUCCGAUUGCGAAGGCAGCCUGCUGGACUGUAACUGACGCUGAUGCUCGAAAGUGUGGGUAUCAAACAGGAUUAGAUACCCUUGUAGUC
Molecule: ribosomal RNA, 460 nt
Filed under: uncultured bacterium
Lineage: Bacteria
Description: partial 16S ribosomal RNA
Rfam family: Bacterial small subunit ribosomal RNA
Source: RNAcentral